UCGGAUUCACACACUCAAGUAUUUUUAUUAAGUAGGAAAGAUUACUCUUGAGGGACAAAAAUGAAUAUGUAAAAACUUAUAAAUUGCUACGAAAAUUGCUAUAUUAUUUCUUUUCUUGAGAGAAAGAUCCCCCUUACAUGGCCAUUGACCUUUAUAUUUAUACAUAGAGAAACGACAUUUAAAGUGAAUAAUUAAGUACAAUUAUUCCCUCUUAAAUGUGUCCGUUUUGAUCUUUGACUUUAAUGCUAAACGUUCGAAUUCGAAUAGAUCAUGAUCUUCAUGGGCUUCGCCUUUUGGCCCAAAUGUUCUUAGGACCAACUUAACCAUGACUUCAUCUUCGGACUUGUGUCGAGGUGCAGUCACUUCGGACCCUCUUUAUGUUGACAACCACUCCGACUGUUCCUUUGGCUCACAGAUCCGACGGGCUUUAUCCUUUAUGGGUCUUCAUCUUGUCUACGUGGCAAUCUUUGGUUGGUCCCGGACUUCUGGUGCGGGAUCCGACACCAACAA
This 510-nucleotide long non-coding RNA is filed under the name Arabidopsis lyrata. RNAcentral describes it as "long non-coding RNA (ALYR_LNC001722)". The record is from RNAcentral. Lineage: Eukaryota; Viridiplantae; Streptophyta; Magnoliopsida; Brassicales; Brassicaceae.